AACGAACGCUGGCGGCAUGCCUAACACAUGCAAGUCGAACGAGACCUUCGGGUCUAGUGGCGCACGGGUGCGUAACACGUGGGAAUUUGCCUCGGGGUAUGGAAUAACUCAGGGAAAUUUGAGCUAAUACCGGAUAAUGUCUUCGGACCAAAAGAUUUAUCGCCUUUAGAUGGGCCCGCGUUGGAUUAGCUAGUUGGUGGGGUAAAGGCCUACCAAGGCGACGAUCCAUAGCUGGUCUGAGAGGAUGAUCAGCCACACUGGGACUGAGACACGGCCCAGACUCCUACGGAGGCAGCAGUGGGGAAUAUUGGACAAUGGGCGAAAGCCUGAUCCAGCAAUGCCGCGUGAGUGAUGAA
RNAcentral lists this ribosomal RNA (356 nucleotides) under uncultured bacterium. Its description in RNAcentral is "bacterial SSU rRNA". It matches the Rfam family "Bacterial small subunit ribosomal RNA", at positions 29 to 412 of the family's 1533-position model. The record is from RNAcentral.